This 433-nucleotide ribosomal RNA is filed under the name uncultured bacterium. RNAcentral's name for it is "bacterial SSU rRNA". It matches the Rfam family "Bacterial small subunit ribosomal RNA", at positions 29 to 507 of the family's 1533-position model. The record is from RNAcentral.
AACGAACGUUAGCGGCGCGCUUAACACAUGCAAGUCGAACGAAGGCUUCGGCCUUAGUGGCGCACGGGUGCGUAACGCGUGGGAACCUGCCCCUCGGUUCGGAAUAACAGUUAGAAAUGACUGCUAAUACCGGAUGAUGACUUCGGUCCAAAGAUUUAUCGCCGAGGGAUGGGCCCGCGUAGGAUUAGCUAGUUGGUGGGGUAAAGGCCUACCAAGGCGACGAUCCUUAGCUGGUCUGAGAGGAUGAUCAGCCACACUGGGACUGAGACACGGCCCAGACUCCUACGGGAGGCAGCAGUGGGGAAUAUUGGACAAUGGGCGAAAGCCUGAUCCAGCAAUGCCGCGUGAGUGAUGAAGGCCUUAGGGUUGUAAAGCUCUUUUACCAGGGAUGAUAAUGACAGUACCUGGAGAAUAAGCUCCGGCUAACUCCGUG